UGGCUCCUUUUCACAUUGCAUUACUUUAACCUCACCCUACCAACUUUCAGGAGAAAUGAAGGCUGCUGAGAAAAGCUUUUAUUAUUUUCAUUGCCAUGUUAAUCUGUAAAUCAGUUAGUAAAGGUCUGUGCUUGUGCCAAAAUGGGAGAACUGUUUUGAACUGCAUGAAGGAAUCCAUCCUGAGUGCUCUCUAGCAAGGCCUGGGGAUUUUCAUACUGUGACUCAGGAGCAAUGCAAGCAAUGUGACAACUACAGGAAAACACCUGUUAGUAUCAGGUGAAAGGAAGACUUCCCCAUCAUCUCUGCUGAAGGCCUGUACUUGAGGAUUCCAAGAAGAGAUAUUUCUGUGCCUUCAUUUUCUUUUGGAUUCGUGGUGACCUCUUCUCUCCCCUGUAUCUCUCUGGAGAGAUAUUUUUGUGAUAAUGCAGCUGCUUGCUAUCAAAAUAUGAGCAGGGCAAGACUGAAAAUUACU
Molecule: long non-coding RNA, 472 nt
Organism: Corvus hawaiiensis (hawaiian crow)
Lineage: Eukaryota; Metazoa; Chordata; Aves; Passeriformes; Corvidae
Exons: 3
Source: RefSeq, a predicted model, not a curated record